CAAAGAUAUUAGAGGCAUGGCUAUUAAAUUAAUUGGAGUAAGUGGUGAUAAAUUAAUAGAUGAUGAAAAAAUGACUCAGGAUUUUGUGAUGCUUACUAUACCAACUAUGCCUAUAGGAACAUUACCUCUAUUCAGAGAUUCUAUAUAUUAUAUGGUUAAAAAAAAGAAUCCAAUUGCUUUAAUGUAUAGUUUAUACAAAUCAGAUAAAUUAAAUAUAAUUAAAGAUCUUAUAGAAGGAAGAUCAAACCAAACAAGUCCGCUAGAUGUAAGUUAUUUUAGUACAACUCCAUAUGCUUAUAAAAAUAAAAUAGUUAAGUUUUGUGUGAAACCAAAUUCGAAAUAUAAAAGCGAAUUACCUAAAAGACUUACAUACAACUAUCUUUCAGAAAAUAUGCAAAAACAUUUAAUUGAUAAUGAAGCUAGUUUUGAAUUUUAUAUCCAAAUUCAAAACAACUCUAAAUCGAUGCCUAUAAAUGAUUCAUCUAUUGAAUGGGAUGAAGAAGAGUCACCUCUUAUUAAAAUUGGUAAAAUAAUAAUUCCAAGACAAUGGUUUAUAACAGAUACUAGAAGUGAAAUGGGAGAAAAAUUAUCUUUUUCGCCAGGGCAUUGCAGUGUGGAACAUAGACCCUUAGGAGAUAUAAACUUAGCUCGUGUAAAAAUAUACAGAGAACUUAGUGAAUUUAGGCACAAAAGAAAUUAUAGAGAAUGUAUAGAACCAACGAUAGAAGAUUUUAAAAAUUUAAAAUAAAAUUUAAAAAGCCCUGCUUACUAAAAUGUAAGCAGGGCUUUUUACUUAUAUUACAUAUUUAAAUACACAAUAAAAAUGAGUUAGGCUUCCUAACAUAACGAAUAUAUGGAAAAUAUCAUGAAAACCUAAAUAUUUAAAAUCAAGAUAUUUAGGUUUAACUCCAUAUAUUAUUCCACCUAUAGUGUAGAAAACUCCACCAAGAGCUAAAUAAAAAACUCCUUGAGGUGAUAUUGCUUUAGAUAAAGGUCCUAUUAUAAAAAUAGAUAUCCAUCCCAUUCCUAUAUAUAUAGAAGUAGAUAGCCAUCUAGGGCAAUUAAACCAAAGCAUUUUAAAUAAAACACCAGCAACGGCUAUUCCAGAUACUACACCGAAAAAAGUGAAUCCUUUAGAUCCGUUUAAAGCAAUUAAGCAAAAUGGCGUAUAUGAACCUGCUAUUAAAAUGAAAAUCAUAGAGUGAUCAAGCUUUCUUAAAAACUUAAUCACUUUUUCAGAUGAAACUACCAAAUGGUAUGUCGCAGAUGCAGAGUAUAAAAGCAUCAUACUUAUACCGAAUAUUAUAACCGCAGUUAGAUUUACUAUAGUAGGGCUAGUAAUUGUUGUUUUUAUAACUAAUGCUAGUAAUCCAACAAAUGAAAGUAUAGCUCCUGCUAAAUGAGUAAAACCACUUACGGGUUCUCUAAGGUACGUACCCAACGCAAUCCCUCCUUAAUUAGAAUGAUACAUUAUUGUAUUCAUAAUUAUGUCCAAUAUAUAUCUGUUUAAAAUAUUUUAACAUAUUUAUUCUGAAUUUUAUGUUAAAUCUGCUGAAUAUUAAAUAAAAAAAUAAAAAAGUUUAAAAAAACUGUUGACGUUAUUUCAAAAUGGUGAUAAAGUAUUACUUGUCCUUAAGAAACGGACGAAACACAAAAGAGAAAAUGAACUUUGAAAAUUAAACAGUAGGUUAAUUAUAAAAAUUCUUUUUAAAAGAAUUAAACACAAACAACCAAGCCAGAUAUUCAGAUAAUGAUUAGCUGAGCGAUGGACAACUUUUUAAAUUAUAUUUGAGAGUUUGAUCCUGGCUCAGGAUGAACGCUGGCGGCGUGCCUAACACAUGCAAGUCGAGCGAUCUCUUCGGAGAGAGCGGCGGACGGGUGAGUAACGCGUGGGUAACCUGCCCUGUACACACGGAUAACAUACCGAAAGGUAUACUAAUACGGGAUAAUAUAUGAAAGUCGCAUGGCUUUUAUAUCAAAGCUCCGGCGGUACAGGAUGGACCCGCGUCUGAUUAGCUAGUUGGUAAGGUAAUGGCUUACCAAGGCAACGAUCAGUAGCCGACCUGAGAGGGUGAUCGGCCACACUGGAACUGAGACACGGUCCAGACUCCUACGGGAGGCAGCAGUGGGGAAUAUUGCACAAUGGGCGAAAGCCUGAUGCAGCAACGCCGCGUGAGCGAUGAAGGCCUUCGGGUCGUAAGCUCUGUCCUCAAGGAAGAUAAUGACGGUACUUGAGGAGGAAGCCCCGGCUAACUACGUGCCAGCAGCCGCGGUAAUACGUAGGGGGCUAGCGUUAUCCGGAAUUACUGGGCGUAAAGGGUGCGUAGGUGGUUUUUAAGUCAGAAGUGAAAGGCUACGGCUCAACCGUAGUAAGCUUUUGAAACUAGAGAACUUGAGUGCAGGAGAGGAGAGUAGAAUUCCUAGUGUAGCGGUGAAAUGCGUAGAUAUUAGGAGGAAUACCAGUAGCGAAGGCGGCUCUCUGGACUGUAACUGACACUGAGGCACGAAAGCGUGGGGAGCAAACAGGAUUAGAUACCCUGGUAGUCCACGCCGUAAACGAUGAGUACUAGGUGUCGGGGGUUACCCCCCUCGGUGCCGCAGCUAACGCAUUAAGUACUCCGCCUGGGAAGUACGCUCGCAAGAGUGAAACUCAAAGGAAUUGACGGGGACCCGCACAAGUAGCGGAGCAUGUGGUUUAAUUCGAAGCAACGCGAAGAACCUUACCUAAGCUUGACAUCCCACUGACCUCUCCCUAAUCGGAGAUUUCCCUUCGGGGACAGUGGUGACAGGUGGUGCAUGGUUGUCGUCAGCUCGUGUCGUGAGAUGUUGGGUUAAGUCCCGCAACGAGCGCAACCCUUGCCUUUAGUUGCCAGCAUUAAGUUGGGCACUCUAGAGGGACUGCCGAGGAUAACUCGGAGGAAGGUGGGGAUGACGUCAAAUCAUCAUGCCCCUUAUGCUUAGGGCUACACACGUGCUACAAUGGGUGGUACAGAGGGUUGCCAAGCCGCGAGGUGGAGCUAAUCCCUUAAAGCCAUUCUCAGUUCGGAUUGUAGGCUGAAACUCGCCUACAUGAAGCUGGAGUUACUAGUAAUCGCAGAUCAGAAUGCUGCGGUGAAUGCGUUCCCGGGUCUUGUACACACCGCCCGUCACACCAUGGAAGUUGGGGGCGCCCGAAGCCGGUUAGCUAACCUUUUAGGAAGCGGCCGUCGAAGGUGAAACCAAUGACUGGGGUGAAGUCGUAACAAGGUAGCCGUAUCGGAAGGUGCGGCUGGAUCACCUCCUUUCUAAGGAGUAAUUGCCUACUGUUUAAUUUUUGAGAGCUUAUUGUUCUCAAACAUUAGUACUUUGAAAACUGCAUAACAUUUAGUGAUGAUUAAAUAAACCAAUUAU
This 3390-nucleotide ribosomal RNA is filed under the name Paraclostridium bifermentans ATCC 638 = DSM 14991. RNAcentral describes it as "Paraclostridium bifermentans ATCC 638 partial 23S ribosomal RNA". The stretch from base 1785 to 3284 matches the Rfam family "Bacterial small subunit ribosomal RNA". Lineage: Bacteria; Bacillati; Bacillota; Clostridia; Peptostreptococcales; Peptostreptococcaceae. The record is from RNAcentral.